GAAGUUGAAUUUGAGUGCGGAAAAUUAAGCACACUGCUCUAAUAUCUAAAUGCGUCUAGAUUUGCAAUACCUGAAUUUUAAAACCGACCCACGUCUCUUGUAAACUUUGAGCUUAUUGUAAUUAAAUAUUAACAUAGUCCAUUAAUAUGCUAAUAUGACCAGUCGGAUACCACUUUUCCAUCUGAUCCUAUCGUCAUGCUUGCAAAAGUUAAUAUGAAAUGACACUAACGCCCAUUAGAGCGACAAAAUUAACCCUUCUUAUUACUUUCUCACUAUCUCUCGCCCUAAUUACUUUGUCUGCCAAUAGCUUUGACAAUCUCAACAAAUCACCCCAUAAAAUCUAACUAAUUAAUAAAUCAUCCACCACGACCCCUAUAUACACUAGCUUGAGCUCCAACCAUUGUAUUGUAUCGUAAUAAAUCUUCAAUUUUUAACUAUUUCCAAAUUUCUUGCUCUACUUUCUCUUCCUAUUUCUUCAGUUCUCCUCCUACUUCUUCCUCACCUGCAUUUCACGUAUGAGAUUUCCUGGUUAGAAACAACGGUUUCAGAUAUCAAUGUCUGGGAUCGUUAUAAGAUUGUGGAAUUUUCCAGUAGUUAGAGUCUUGGUGCAUCCAUGCCUCUCAGAUCUCUCCAAAAACCUUUGAGUUGACUUGUGUAAGGGCUAGCUAUGUUUCCCUGAGGGAUUGUCUGAGACCGGUGCCGUGCUCGGUAGUAGUCUGGCUUCUAGAAGAAAACGGUCGAUUGGAUAAGUGCAAGAUCAUUGGCUAGCUUGGGAUAAUCUGUGGAGUGGGUUUUCGGGACCUCUACGCUUUCGAAUCUGGACUUGUUAGCAAAAGAAGAGUGCCGAUUACUGCAGUCCCCAACGAGUUUUGAAAGAAAAACAUUUUCCCUAGUUCCUCUUUUGGCAUGCUACUUGGGGAUCUUCCCUUCGUAGUUUGUGUUGUUAGAGAAAUAUUUUGUGAGAGAAUUCUUCAGUUGGGAAGCCGAGCAUGUCAAAUUAUCACAAAGAUAGGCCGAAGGUCCCUUCCAAUAACACUGAUAUUGUUCCCAUCUUGGUAAUUACUACCUGCACAAUCCGUCAUGUGUGAAGUUUUAUUUCAAAAGACUCAGUAUUAGUUCGAGUGGGGUUAGGAUAUUUAAAAUCUUAUUUUCUCAUAUA
Molecule: non-coding RNA, 1159 nt
Organism: Malus domestica (apple)
Lineage: Eukaryota; Viridiplantae; Streptophyta; Magnoliopsida; Rosales; Rosaceae
Source: RefSeq, a predicted model, not a curated record